GGCUGCUACAGUACCUGGAGGCGGAGCAGGAGAGGAACUGUCCAAUCAGGUGCGCAGAGAAAGGUGAAGGGCGGGGUCUCGCAAUCUCGCGGCUUUUCCUCUCCCUUGCUGAGCUCCUUCCUCCUUUGCUCCUUUGUCCUCUUCUCCGGAUCCCCGGGGACUCUGCUUAACCUGGGGCCCCGAGGAGUUCGGAAACCAGACGUCCCUAGAAAGGACGGCGGGUCACCCUGGAGCCCCCAAACGGGAUGCGUUGGUCCUGGGCAGGCUGCCCUCUCUCCCUGCUCUCUCCACCCUCUGCCUGGAGGUGCUAUGAGGUCCACAAGAAGGAUUUCAGGUCUCCCCAGAAGGUGGAACAUGGGUCCUGUGUCCUCUGCCAUUUUCCUGUCCUUUCCUGGGCUGCCAAAGUGUGUCUAGAGCUGCCCUGUUUCCUGCAGAGUGCAAACAAUUUUAGGCCCUGGGGCAGCUCUUCUUAGAGGACAGCCUGAUGUGUGGGGUAUAAAAUCUCAAGAGAGCUGCUGGAGGGCCUGGGCCUGAGGAAUAUUUUUAAAUAGGCCUCAUCUAGACAACUCCCUUCUUGAAACAUUAUCUCCCCAAGUCCUUUCCCCAUUUCUUGGAGCCAGGUGGAUAGGCAGCCUCUAGAUGCUGGUGUUGAGGGGUCAGGUUAGAUCUGAUACCUUCCCCUGGCAUUCCGUCACAGUUGUGCAAGAAAAAAAGAAUCUCCCAGAGCAUAAGAAGCACCCAGUUCACUGAAGUACUCUUCAGUCCUGAAAAGACUGGAGUCCUGGUCCAGGUCUCCUGGGAGGGUGAUCAUGGAAUAUUUUAUUGAGCAAGACCAAUUGGAAAGAUGUCCAGCUGCCUGGGAUGUUCUCUGCCCUUUCAGCAGAAAAAUCUGUGUUCCCUCAGCACUAAUCUUUUCUGUGUUUCUCACUUUGAAAUUAUGGGCUCACUUACUAGAGACCCAGGUUUUCCUAAAAUGUGAAAUGUGUGUAUUCAGAACUGAGCCAAGCAAAAUAUUCUGAAGAGGUAAAAAAAUUUCAAGAUAAUACCUAGUUUUUUUUUCUAUUUGAUACAAAUUUUUAUUUACCUUUCUACUUUCUCUGAGCCUAUGUACAAAAUUUCUGAGACCUCACUCUUUUUUACAAUUGAAUCUCAAAUGGAAUUAUAGGUUCUAGUCUCAAGAAUGCUUCUAGAGAAAAGAGGUUAAAAAAACUGCUGUUGUUGAAGAAAGUGAUUACAUAUCCAAAAAAGUUAUGGUAGGUAAAUUUGAACUACAAGGAUUCAUAAGAAUAUUAGUUCCUUCAUUCAGUGAAGAACUCCUGACACUUGGUAAAUCUGUUUUUAUUCCUGCUUUAUGAAUUUGAAAGAUUAACAAUAAAUUGUAUUGGAAAAACAUGGCAAUUGCCUGAAAUAUGAAUUUUUUACAA
RNAcentral lists this long non-coding RNA (1424 nucleotides) under Ictidomys tridecemlineatus (thirteen-lined ground squirrel). Its description in RNAcentral is "lncRNA (ENSSTOG00000033353.1)". Lineage: Eukaryota; Metazoa; Chordata; Mammalia; Rodentia; Sciuridae. The record is from RNAcentral.